RNAcentral lists this ribosomal RNA (274 nucleotides) under uncultured bacterium. RNAcentral describes it as "partial 16S ribosomal RNA". It matches the Rfam family "Bacterial small subunit ribosomal RNA", at positions 523 to 796 of the family's 1533-position model. The record is from RNAcentral.
AUACGGAGGGAGCUAGCGUUGUUCGGAAUUACUGGGCGUAAAGCGUACGUAGGCGGAUUGACAAGUUGGGGGUGAAAUCCCAGGGCUUAACCCUGGAACUGCCCUCAAAACUAUCGAUCUAGAGACCGGGAGAGGUAAGCGGAAUUCCUAGUGUAGAGGUGAAAUUCGUAGAUAUUAGGAAGAACACCAGUGGCGAAGGCGGCUUACUGGACCGGUACUGACGCUAAGGUACGAAAGCGUGGGGAGCAAACAGCAUUAGAAACCCCGGUAGUCC